This 421-nucleotide ribosomal RNA is filed under the name uncultured bacterium. Its description in RNAcentral is "bacterial SSU rRNA". It matches the Rfam family "Bacterial small subunit ribosomal RNA", at positions 8 to 456 of the family's 1533-position model. The record is from RNAcentral.
AGAGUUUGAUCAUGGCUCAGAACGUACGCUGGCGGCACGCCUAACACAUGCAAGUCGAACGAAGUAGCAAUACUUAGUGGCAGACGGGUGAGUAACAUGUAGGUAUCUGCCCUUUGGCCUGGAAUAACACGAGGAAACUUGUGCUAAUACCGGAUAAGUCUUUACGGAGAAAGCUUUAUGCACCAUUGGAUGAGCCUGCACUUGAUUAGUUUGUUGGUGGGGUAAUGGCCUACCAAGACUGUGAUCAAUAGCUGAUUUGAGAGGAUGAUCAGCCACAUUGGGACUGAGACACAGCCCAAACUCCUACGGGAGGCAGCAGUGGGGAAUCUUGCACAAUGGAGGAAACUCUGAUGCAGCGAUGCCGCGUGAGUGAAGAAGGCCCUUGGGUUGUAAAGCUCUUUCGUCGGGGAAGAAAAUGACU